This 565-nucleotide ribosomal RNA is filed under the name uncultured bacterium. RNAcentral's name for it is "bacterial SSU rRNA". It matches the Rfam family "Bacterial small subunit ribosomal RNA", at positions 358 to 917 of the family's 1533-position model. The record is from RNAcentral.
GGGNNUUUGGNCAUGGGGGNAACCCUGNUCCAGCCAUGCCGCGUGAGUGAAGAAGGCCUUCGGGUUGUAAAGCUCUUUUGGUCGGAAAGAAAAGGCUACGGCUAAUACCCGUGGUCCUUGACGGUACCGGCAGAAUAAGCACCGGCUAACUACGUGCCAGCAGCCGCGGUAAUACGUAGGGUGCGAGCGUUAAUCGGAAUUACUGGGCGUAAAGAGUGCGUAGGCGGUCCCGCAAGUCCGUUGUGAAAGCCCCGGGCUUAACCUGGGAAUGGCAGUGGAAACUAGGGGACUUGAAUCUGGCAGAGGGGGGUGGAAUGCCACGUGUAGCAGUGAAAUGCGUAGAGAUGUGGCGGAACACCGAUGGCGAAGGCAGCCCCCUGGGCUGAGAUUGACGCUCAGGCACGAAAGCGUGGGGAGCAAACAGGAUUAGAUACCCUGGUAGUCCACGCCCUAAACGAUGAUCACUAGGUGUUGGGGAAGCGAUUUCUCAGUACCGCAGCUAACGCGUGAAGUGAUCCGCCUGGGGAGUACGGUCGCAAGAUUAAAACUCAAAAAAAUUGACGGA